CGUAGGGUGCGAGCGUUGUCCGGAAUUAUUGGGCGUAAAGAGCUCGUAGGCGGCUUGUCGCGUCGGAUGUGAAAGCCCGGGGCUUAACUCCGGGUCUGCAUUCGAUACGGGCAGGCUAGAGUGUGGUAGGGGAGAUCGGAAUUCCUGGUGUAGCGGUGAAAUGCGCAGAUAUCAGGAGGAACACCGGUGGCGAAGGCGGAUCUCUGGGGCCAUUACUGACGCUGAGGAGCGAAAGCGUGGGAGCGAACAGGAUU
This 254-nucleotide ribosomal RNA is filed under the name uncultured bacterium. Its description in RNAcentral is "partial 16S ribosomal RNA". It matches the Rfam family "Bacterial small subunit ribosomal RNA", at positions 526 to 779 of the family's 1533-position model. The record is from RNAcentral.